RNAcentral lists this ribosomal RNA (506 nucleotides) under uncultured bacterium. Its description in RNAcentral is "partial 16S ribosomal RNA". It matches the Rfam family "Bacterial small subunit ribosomal RNA", at positions 30 to 523 of the family's 1533-position model. The record is from RNAcentral.
AUUGAACGCUGGCGGCAGGCCUAACACAUGCAAGUCGAACGGGAACAGAAAGCAGCUUGCUGCUUUGCUGACGAGUGGCGGACGGGUGAGUAAUGUCUGGGAAACUGCCUGAUGGAGGGGGAUAACUACUGGAAACGGUAGCUAAUACCUCAUAACGUCGCAAGACCAAAGAGGGGGACCUUCGGGCCUCUUGCCAUCGGAUGUGCCCAGAUGGGAUUAGCUUGUUGGUGGGGUAACGGCUCACCAAGGCGACGAUCCCUAGCUGGUCUGAGAGGAUGAACAGCCACACUGGAACUGAGACACGGUCCAGACUCCUACGGGAGGCAGCAGUGGGGAAUAUUGCACAAUGGGCGCAAGCCUGAUGCAGCCAUGCCGCGUGUAUGAAGAAGGCCUUCGGGUUGUAAAGUACUUUCAGCGGGGAGGAAGGGAGUAAAGUUAAUACCUUUGCUCAUUGACGUUACCCGCAGAAGAAGCACCGGCUAACUCCGUGCCAGCAGCCGCCGUAA